RNAcentral lists this long non-coding RNA (716 nucleotides) under Sus scrofa (pig). Its description in RNAcentral is "lncRNA (ENSSSCG00070014673.1)". The record is from RNAcentral. Lineage: Eukaryota; Metazoa; Chordata; Mammalia; Artiodactyla; Suidae.
CUCAAAAAUUUUUCAAGUAUUUUUCUUCCCUCUCCACCAGACACUAUUUGCCAUAUAUGGGGACGAUGUGCCAAGAAGCUCACCUCGGAGUUGCCAUUGUGGCACAAUGGUUAACGAAUCCGACUAGGAGACAUAAGGUUGCGGGUUCGGUCCCUGCCCUUGCACAGUGGGUAAACGAUCUGGCAUUGCCAUGAACUCUUGUGUAGCUUGCAGACGUGGCUCAGAUCCCGCGGUGCUGUGGCUCUGGUGUAGGCUGGUGGAUGCAGCUCCGAUUCGACCCCUAGACUGGAAAACCUACAUAUGCUGUGGUACCGGCAAAAGAAAUGGCAAAAAAUAAAUAAAUAAAUAAAAAGCCUACCCGAAUCGAGGGAAGAGAGAACGAUGCCCGGGAGCGCCUUAACUUCACGCCGGGCGCAAGGGCGGAAGGGGGCCGAUUGGUUGACAGCCGGCUGCCUUGCCUUAAGAAGCAGGGCGUCUGAUGUCAAGCCGCCUCUCCCUCUGCCGACUGCCUGCCUGCUGCCUGCCUGCCUGCCUGCCUGCUGUGCAAGAAGCCUACCCGAAUCGAGGGAAGAGAGAACGAUGCCCGGGAGCGCCUUAACUUCACGCCGGGCGCAAGGGCGGAAGGGGGCCGAUUGGUUGACAGCGCGCUGCCUUGCCUUAAGAAGCAGGGCGUCUGAUGUCAGUGAGUGGGCGGUUUCGUUGGGGCGAGAGGCCUG